CAAUGGAACUGGAAUGGUUAAGGCAGGAUUUGCUGGUGAUGAUGCUCCUCGAGCAGUGUUUCCCAGUAUUGUGGGUCGUCCCAGGCACACAGGUGUUAUGGUCGGAAUGGGACAGAAGGAUGCGUAUGUGGGUGAUGAAGCUCAAUCUAAGAGAGGUAUCUUGACCUUGAAAUAUCCCAUUGAGCAUGGUAUAGUCAGCAAUUGGGAUGAUAUGGAGAAGAUAUGGCAUCAUACUUUUUACAAUGAGCUUCGAGUUGCUCCUGAGGAACACCCUGUUCUCCUGACUGAGGCACCCCUUAAUCCCAAGGCCAACAGAGAGAAGAUG
RNAcentral lists this unclassified non-coding RNA (325 nucleotides) under Hevea brasiliensis (rubber tree). The record is from RNAcentral. Lineage: Eukaryota; Viridiplantae; Streptophyta; Magnoliopsida; Malpighiales; Euphorbiaceae.